CCAAGGCGGAGGAAAAUUUGAUAACAGGGCAGAUGAAGGGAUCUUUGUAGGUUAUGUUACGUCGCAUGAAAAGGUCCACGCGACGUCCUUCAUUGUCUGACCGUCAAGGCCCAAGCACCGUUAGAGAAGCCCUCAAUAAACCUAAGGCCCAUCAUAAACCGAGUCUCAUUAGCUUGCAGGAACCUUGAAUCCUGCAAGUAUUUUGGGUUUAUAUCUGGUACUUAAACAAGUCAUUAGGUCUAUUGAGCGUGCUUAAAGAUUACGGAGAAAGCUGGUAUUUAUAACGGGAAAAACUGGUAAUUAUAUGAUAGGGAAAACUAGGCAUUUAUAGAAUAGAAAUGUCUGGAUUUUCCUACGAGUCAUGCCGAUGGGGUGUUUACAUCUCCCAUUUUCAAGCGUUAACGUCUUAUCCAAUGGGUAGCGCGGAUCCUUGUCCUCAUCUUUCCUAACUAAAAAUGUAAGCAACAAAUGCGCGUUCUUCGUUCAAAGGGCACACC
RNAcentral lists this unclassified non-coding RNA (497 nucleotides) under Bombus terrestris (buff-tailed bumblebee). Its description in RNAcentral is "misc RNA ENSBTSG00005031166.1". The record is from RNAcentral. Lineage: Eukaryota; Metazoa; Arthropoda; Insecta; Hymenoptera; Apidae.